Molecule: long non-coding RNA, 1307 nt
Organism: Drosophila miranda
Lineage: Eukaryota; Metazoa; Arthropoda; Insecta; Diptera; Drosophilidae
Exons: 4
Source: RefSeq, a predicted model, not a curated record
CAGAACAGCAACGCUUUGCAUGUGUGUGCAACACACACAAUAUUUGCCCCCAAAAAUAUGCUUAUUUCGUUUUCAGAGUUUAAUUUCUGUUUUUUAUUGUGUUUCCAGCGUAUUUUAAUGUAUGGGUGUUUGUUUAGCGGAGGUGGCUGAACGCCAGAGCCGAAGACUCUGGGAUCCCUGUUGAAAGUUAAUUGAAUACCGAUGAUCCCAGCUCCCAAUAAAGAUUGUGAAUUUUUUGUUCCUACUGAGAUAAAUGGACCGAGUCUUUAACCAUCACUUUUCCGCCCUUUUUGGAAUCUUUUUUGGAAUCUUUUAGAAUCGGGCGACCUCAGGCGGCUUUUCCCGUUUGGGUGUUGCCGGAUCGAUACUGCAUCCACGAUCGUGUGCAUCGCGCCAGCAGAUGGCUCAUUAUUUAUUUAAAUGUACGUUUUACGAAGUAUGACGUACAUGCUUUGUCUUCCCUACUGCACUUUUCUUUACCUUAUCGGCUUUGACCGGUUUGUAUUCCCUCCUGCUCUAUUCGCCGAGACCCUCUCUGGCCACAAUCUGCUAUGCCGCGAUCCCCUUCUCUUGCCGCGCCAGCAGGUCGGGUGGCGAUAUUUUUAACAUCAUUUACAAGGGGCUUCACCCUUCUGGUCUUCCGGUUCAUAAGAGCGAGCGUGCGCUCGAUGACGGUUGACCACUCAAGGCGUCCGACCGGCUGACAUCACGAACUCCCUGCCGGAUUCUGCGCGCGGGCCACGAUGCCUAGCGCCCCUCGGGACAUGGUGGCCCCCUUCCUGGCGUCCAACGAUGUGUUCUCCUCCUUUCGAGUCCGCUUGCCGUCGGUACCACCACUGAUGUGCUCCUGGCUGGACUGUGGCAGCCACUGGGUUUCCUGCUGUGGGCCAUAGCCCUGACGCAGCUGCUGUUUCACCGAGGAUCCCUGCAGCAGGGAUCAAAUCGACGAAGGAAGUGUGGGUUCACGCCCAUGGGAAAUGUCAGCAACCACCCCAUUCAUAUGCCGCCGCAUCAAACGCUGGGCUACAGCCUCGAGACGAAGAGGACUUAUCCACCCUACGCUUUGGGCCAAACCGAGUCAUAUACGAUUUCUUCCGCCAGACAGAGUCCUAUCAAAGCAUUACCGAGGCUUAUUCGAGAUAGACCGAGGUCUAUCCCAGCCAGGCCUAACCUAACAAGCUAUCGUCAUCCUUCGACCUGGCCAUCGACAACAAGGACUUUGACUAUGGUAACCAAGCGAGGAGCUACGCGGGAUGCUAGACUCUAGAUAGAUCUCGUUGUUGUUAGGUGUAAGAUAGAUAAAACUG